This 365-nucleotide long non-coding RNA is filed under the name Callithrix jacchus (white-tufted-ear marmoset). Its description in RNAcentral is "lncRNA (ENSCJAG00000067501.2)". Lineage: Eukaryota; Metazoa; Chordata; Mammalia; Primates; Cebidae. The record is from RNAcentral.
CUCAUUACAUUUACCAGUAAUCUUUUUUUUUUUUUUACCUUUACCAGUAGUCUUAUGGAUUUAAAUUACCAGCUGGGGUCACUUGCUUUCAGCUUGAAGAACUUUCUUUAGUAUUUCUUUUAAGUGACAUCAGUGAAUGGGCUGGUCUGGAUGGCUUCACUCAUAUUUCUGGUGCUUUGACAAGGAUGAUUAGAAGACUGGACUUAGUUGGGGCUGAAUCCUUCUUCUUCAACUUGGUGGACUGAUGGCCCCUCUUUCAUAGGACUGCUGUUGUUUGUUGGAAGUCCACUCCAGACCUUAUUCACCUGGGUCCCUCCUGCACCUAGAGUUAUUACAAGUAGAGGUAGCAAAAUGACAAAGAUGGC